AGUGAACGCUGGCGGUAGGCCUAACACAUGCAAGUCGAACGGCAGCACAGUAAGAGCUUGCUCUUACGGGUGGCGAGUGGCGGACGGGUGGGGAAUACAUCGGAAUCUACUUUUUCGUGGGGGCUAACGUAGGGAAACUUACGCUAAUACCGCAUACGACCUACGGGUGAAAGCGGGGGAUCUUCGGACCUUGCGCGAUUGAAUGAGCCGAUGUCGGAUUAGCUAGUUGGCGGGGUAAAGGCCCACCAAGGCGACGAUCCGUAGCUGGUCUGAGAGGAUGUUCAGCCACACUGGAACUGAGACACGGUCCAGACUCCUACGGGAGGCAGCAGUGGGGAAUAUUGGACAAUGGGCGCAAGCCUGAUCCAGCCAUACCGCGUUGGUGAAGAAGGCCUUCGGGUUGUAAAGCCCUUUUGUUGGGAAAGAAAAGCAGCAGGUUAAUACCCCGCUGUUCUGACGGUACCCAAAGAAUAAGCACCGGCUAACUUCGUG
This 492-nucleotide ribosomal RNA is filed under the name uncultured bacterium. Its description in RNAcentral is "partial 16S ribosomal RNA". It matches the Rfam family "Bacterial small subunit ribosomal RNA", at positions 29 to 507 of the family's 1533-position model. The record is from RNAcentral.